GAUGAACGCUGGCGGCGUGCCUAAUACAUGCAAGUCGAGCGAACAGAUAAGGAGCUUGCUCCUUUGACGUUAGCGGCGGACGGGUGAGUAACACGUGGGUAACCUACCUAUAAGACUGGAAUAACUCCAGGAAACCGGGGCUAAUGCCGGAUAACAUUUAGAACCGCAUGGUUCUAAAGUGAAAGAUGGUUUUGCUAUCACUUAUAGAUGGACCCGCGCCGUAUUAGCUAGUUGGUAAGGUAACGGCUUACCAAGGCAACGAUACGUAGCCGACCUGAGAGGGUGAUCGGCCACACUGGAACUGAGAUACGGUCCAGACUCCUACGGGAGGCAGCAGUAGGGAAUCUUCCGCAAUGGGCGAAAGCCUGGCGGAGCAACGCCGCGUGAGUGAUGAAGGUCUUCGGAUCGUAAAACUCUGUUAUUAGGGAAGAACAAAUGUGUAAGUAACUGUGCACGUCUUGACGGUACCUAAUCAGAAAGCCACGGCUAACUACGUG
This 497-nucleotide ribosomal RNA is filed under the name uncultured bacterium. RNAcentral describes it as "partial 16S ribosomal RNA". It matches the Rfam family "Bacterial small subunit ribosomal RNA", at positions 28 to 507 of the family's 1533-position model. The record is from RNAcentral.